GCCAGCAGCCGCGGUAAUACGUAGGUGGCAAGCGUUGUCCGGAUUUAUUGGGCGUAAAGCGAGCGCAGGCGGUUUUUUAGGUCUGAUGUGAAAGCCUUCGGUUUAACCGGAGAAGUGCAUCGGAAACCGGGAGACUUGAGUGCAGAAGAGGACAGUGGAACUCCAUGUGUAGCGGUGAAAUGCGUAGAUAUAUGGAAGAACACCAGUGGCGAAGGCGGCUGUCUGGUCUGCAACUGACGCUGAGGCUCGAAAGCAUGGGUAGCGAACAGGAUUAGAUACCCUGGUAGUCCAUGCCGUAAACGAUGAGUGCUAAGUGUUGGAGGGUUUCCGCCCUUCAGUGCUGCAGCUAUCGCAUUAAGCACUCCGCCUGGGGAGUACGACCGCAAGGUUGAAACUCAAAGGAAUUGACGGGGGCCCGCACAAGCGGUGGAGCAUGUGGUUUAAUUCGAUGCUACGCGAAGAACCUUACCAGGUCUUGACAUCUUCUGCUAACCUAAGAGAUUAGGCGUUCCCUUCGGGGACGGAAUGACAGGUGGUGCAUGGUUGUCGUCAGCUCGUGUCGUGAGAUGUUGGGUUAAGUCCCGCAACGAGCGCAACCCUUAUUGUCAGUUGCCAGCAUUUAGUUGGGCACUCUGGCGAGACUGCCGGUGACAAACCGGAGGAAGGUGGGGAUGACGUCAAAUCAUCAUGCCCCUUAUGACCUGGGCUACACACGUGCUACAAUGGACGGUACAACGAGUCGCGAAACCGCGAGGUCAAGCUAAUCUCUGAAAGCCGUUCUCAGUUCGGAUUGCAGGCUGCAACUCGCCUGCAUGAAGUUGGAAUCGCUAGUAAUCGUGGAUCAGCAUGCCACGGUGAAUACGUUCCCGGGCCUUGUACACACCGCCCAUCACACCAUGAGAGUUUGUAACACCCAAAGCCGGUGAGGUAACCUUCGGGGGCCAGCCGUCUAAGGUGGGACAGAUGAUUAGGGUGAAGUCGUAACAAGGUAGCCGUAGGAGAACCUGCGGCUGGAUCACCUCCUUUCUAA
Molecule: ribosomal RNA, 1030 nt
Filed under: uncultured bacterium
Lineage: Bacteria
Description: bacterial SSU rRNA
Rfam family: Bacterial small subunit ribosomal RNA
Source: RNAcentral